GCUCCACGUGCCAUCGCCGCGCUCAAACGACCAACAGAGGGCGCGCGUGGCCUGCAGACUAACGGUCACUUCCCAGUACAGUUUCACAAACCAAUUGAUCUAGGAGGGUCUUUUAACUCCUGCCCCAAUUCAUAGCGAUAACAAGGCCCAAGCUUCAUUUGCUGAAGGUGUGAGAUUUGGGGAGCAUCUCUCAGCGUAAGGAGUGAGUGAAAAGUUGCGAGAUCCUCGAUCCAAAACAAUUUUCGGUUUGUGGCCAUCUGACUUCUCUCCGAUGCCCAGAUGAUGCAGACAGCCCCACCUCAGCCAGUCCUUCCUUUUCCAGGCUCCUGUGGGCCUUCAACAGUCGGGGCGAUCCGUUGGGUCGGUCGUCGCCACUUCGGAGGAAUCAUCUCAUAACUGGGGCCUGCCUGUGUUUUGUGAGCUCUGUCCACAGAGAGUGCUGCCAUGCUUCUGCCAAGCAGGAGAAGCGUCCGGGGGUCUCCGGAACCCUUAAGGAAAGCCGUCUGCACAGAAGAUAAGCAUUUUCUGUGAGUCGUGAGUACUGGAGGUGAGGAAGCCCUGAGCCACACACACGCCAAAAGAGAGGUGCCCUGGUGCAGGCACCAUCUUCAUGCCCGACGAGAAGAGACACGCCCACCAGAGCCAAGAGAGAGAGCCAUUACACUCUGUCCUUGAAGGGACAGCCAGGUGACAGCUCCCUAAACCACACCCACCCUCUGCCUCCUUCACUCAAGGUGCUUUGUCUGACUGAAGCUGUGUGCGCAGUGAAGGCCGGCCGAUGCUUUAGGUCCGCAGGAAUGUGAUGGUCCAGCUACCGUGGAUAACCUACCGAAGGUGCUUCCCUUGGCCAUGGCCUCAGCGGGAAGGCCUCACACCACAUAAACUGCUAUACUGUAGGUAUGCCAGACCCUUGGCACCCAGUGUGUUCCCGGACCUGUGCCCUUCAGCCCAGGACCCUGUGCUCGCUGGCUACUUGUUCACAUGACACUGGAAACCUGUGCCCUUUCAAGAUGCCCCCUCUGUUGCUGUGAGUCGGUGGGGGCACGGGUCCCCCUCAGAGGUCUAGUACUGUAUCUACCCGGGAAGGGAGUCUCCACAGCCGUGUCUAGAAGGGUACCUGCAUACCACGUGUGACUGUGUUGAGAGUCCUUGCUCACGGCUAUGAUGUCAUUACUCCUCCUCCUCCUCCUCCCUCUCCUCGUCCUCCUCCUGGUUCGUGGUUGACAUCCUUGCUGUCUUCCCAUGACCACGACUUAGCCCUCCUGUUGGAAAGGCAAGAAGAGCAAAGGCUCCCUGGCGGCCCUGUCUUUUGUUGUUGUUCUCAUCAGUGCCUGGCUGGCUGACUUUACCUGAGAUCUACUUCUGUGGUCCUCUCACCCCUGCCCCGGAGAGGCCCUAUGUUCUCUGGGGUCUGGAGAGGGUUUGCUUGCCUGUGCUGAUGAGUCAGAGCCAGGCCUCCCUGUGGCCUUCCCACCAUACACCACAGAGCCAGAAUCCUCCUCUCUCCUGUCCUGGUGGACACCAGGCACAGGGAGAGCUGAGGCCUGAAGGAUACUGUGGAGUCAGUUGUGCCCUAGGCAGGAUGGCCAAAGGCUACUGGACAGUGGGGAUCGGGGCCUGCCACCAAUGGCCCUUUUGGCCCUGCCUCAGUGGGGGUGCUAUUUAAGUUUAGGUUCAAAAUGUCACCUCAUGCUCAAAAGCUCCUCCCAUUGCAGGGCUUAAGGAGCUGUGUGUCUUCCCCCACCUGGAAGGUAUGGGAAGUUCCUAAGAGAGCAGCCCGCCCUGGUGGCUCCUGUGCCUGACUCACCCGCUCACUGCUUUCUGGGACCCGAUGUUCUGAGGAAGCAGGUGUCUUCUGCUUUGUCUAGGUCGUAGUCUCUGGUCUUUGGUUCAUUGUCCUGUGAUACAAUUUCCAUGGGCCGUUUAGUAAUUAUUUUGCUCUUCUUUGAGAUAGCACGAAACGUGGAAGCAUAUUAAUAAUUGGACCUCUGAGCAGGUGCAAUGAAAGAUCCUAGAAAUGGGUGUGUGUGGAAGGCCGGGAAGCCUCAGUCCCCAUCCCCGUCGGGUGGCAGUGGGCAGGCCAGGUCCCUGGGAAGCUGUGGUGGAGGCCUUGCAGGCUGUGACCUGCCGCAGGUUCUGGAGCAGCUGAGCCCGGGUCUCCCGGCAGACGGGGGCCUGUAGCCGGCUCGAGGACGGUAAAUGACCAGGGGAACUGGCCUGUCCAGGUCCACUGAAGGUCCUCCAAAGCCUUGCCGGGGUGAGGGUCGCUGUGAUGUGGCAUGCUGCUGCCACACAGCCUGCCUUCAGAGGCACCAGGGAGCAAGACGCUGUCGGGAUGGUAAAGGAGGGCAUCUCUGCAGGCAAACAGGGACUCCAACUGCUGACCUCAGGUUCUGACUCCCUUAGCCUUGCUGGCAGGGACACAUCUGACUGCCCACUCUGUGGGCAGCCACAGAAACAUCUGGCUGGGCUCCUUUUGUCCCCGCCUCUCCCCCACCCCACCCCACCCCCCACACACACCCACUUCCCACAGGAGUGUGAAGAGCUUGACACACCUCUGUCUAUUCGGUUUCUAAUCCAAUGCCCUUCCUGGUUUCCUUUGAUGGAGGCAUAGGUAAACCUGGGCUGUUUUCCCAGUCAACUUUGAUGGCUAACGUGGGCAAGGAGACUCAGCACAGACAAGAGAACCUGGCGGCAGGGAUGGCGGUGCCUCCCACACAUUGCCUUUGCCCCGAUUGCCUUGGCAUCUUGGCAUUUAUGACCUUGGUAUGACCUUCAUCUUGCUGGUGACAGCACUGGUCCUUGGGGACUCCUGGACUUUCAGAAAGUGACUUCAUCCCCUCACUGAGGGCUGGGGAUUGGUGUGGGUGUGGUGGAGUAGCAGACAUACCCAUCCCAUCCUGUGUGCUCAGGGGAACUUGGUUUAUGGUCCCUGCCUGGGCCUUGUGUCUAUCCUUGGGCAGCUGUGUUCCUUGCAUUGGCCACAGCAAAGCCCUGUCUGUGGUUCUCAGAAGUUGUGAUGUGCUCAGUGACCGGCUGGCACUCCUGAGUCACAUCGCUCCUCCAUAGACAGAGCUCUGGUCCAGGGUCACCACCGUGCACUGUGUGGCCUGGACCUCCUGCCACCCUUCCUCAUUGUCAGUGGUGAAGCUGCUGGAGGAAAGGCCACACUGGGUUCACCCCCAGGGGUCCUCUGCUCUGCCUUGGCAGGGUGCCUCAUUCCCUCCUGGUCUCUAUGAAGUCCCCUGUGGUCCUCUCUGGGGUUGCUGAUCGAUUCUUCUUUUUUUUCACUCUUCUCCCACCUUGAGGGACUCGGGAGAGUCCCUGAGCACCGUGGAGCAUGCAAGCCCUUGCAUGGCCGAUUGUCCCCUUGACUCUCUGUCCCCUACGAUAGGUAAGGACUCCUGCCCUGUUGUAUCCUCAGAGUGGGUGCUGCCUGGUGAGAUUGUGUGUCCUGAUGACUGUUCAACACAAAGAUGAGUCCCUAAUAAAUGCACAGUUGUUGAUUGAAAAUAACUCUGGACGUGGGAAGUCCAAGGCCAAGGUCCCGACAGACGGAUCGCCUGGUGCAAGCCCAAAGCUCAUGAACAGCACCUUAGAGCUGAGGUCCACAGGCAGAGGCUUAAGAGAGCUCCCCUGGGCCCAGGUUCUUGAGGGCACUAGUCAUGUUCAUGGAGGAGUGUGUGUAAACGUGUUAUCAGUAUGUGUUUGUGAGUGUGUACACACACAGCCCUGUUCCUUCUCUCACGGUGGAAAUUAGGUUGUAACAUAUGAAUUUGGAGGGACACCAACUGUCCGUUCCCGGCAUGUCCUAAAGAAUGUGGAAUAUACAGGAUGAAGAGGCUCCAGGUUGUGUCUGUGGCCUCUGGACGUUACGGGAACUGUCCCUCCCUGACCGGUGGGGUCCGGGCUUAUGUGGAUGGGUGACCCAGGACCUCGGGGGCUGGGCAAGGUGCUGUGGAGCAGCAGGGCAGCACUGAGAGCCACUUCCCUUGACUGAGUGGACAAGGGGCAGCCUCCCUUUCUGCCUCCUACAGCACACAGCUGCCAGCCCUGUCCCACCCCUCAGACCUUAGCUCUGCCCAUAACUGCUGCUCCAGUGACUUUCCAAAGAUGCUGUCAUUCCCUCUAGAUGAGAGCAGAUCAGAGUCACUCUCCUAACUGUCCUGGGCCCACACAUGUCCUGAUCCUUCUCCCUUCUCACUUCCAGGUGGCUGUCAUUGUCUUUUCCUAUGGGUUCUUGCCUUGUGCCAGGCUUCUCCUGGAUCUGGAGGUGGUCAGGGCCAGACAGGAAGAAGGAAAGGCGAGAUUGGUCAGCUCUUUAGACAGUGUUGAAAAUGUGCCUCCUGGAGACAGCUCUGGACAGCUCUUCACAGGAGGUCAGGCCAUGCCUCGGGGCUGAGGCAGGAGCAUGGCCUUCACCACCAGGCUUUGCCUCCCGAGGCCUCUGCACAUGUGAGUCUGGGCUGUGUGGUGCCCUGCUUGCCCCUCUAUCCUUCUACCUCACCACAUCUCUUUCUCUGAGGACAUUUGCUUGGUUUCUCUGAGUUCCAACAGUCCUUCAGACAGUUGGGGGAGGAAAGAAGAGGAGAGACUGUGUCCCUGUCUCCCUUGGCCUUUGCCUUGGCUCCUCUUGCUGUCUGGUUCUUGUUGUCAACCUGCUUGGCCAACUGGAGGCUACUGAAUUCUGUCACAUGUCAGGCCACAGAUGCCCUCUGCCCACCAAAUAAAAAAAGGAAGUGCUGGGGAGAUGGCUCAGUGGUUAACGCUGCUUGCUCCCUUCUCAGGGCCAGAUCUCAGGCCCCCCAACCCCCUGUGAUAUGCCCAGCAUUCCUGCCAACUUCCAACUCCUGGAAUCCCAAGUGUGGAGGGGUGGAGACAGGAGGAUAUCUGGGACUUGCCUGCUUUUAGCCUAGUAGAGAUGUGAACCCAGGGCUCAGGAAGAAACCCUGCUUUAAGGGACAAUGCAGAGUGACUGAGGAGGAUGGCUAGUUGCCGUCUUCAGGAUCUGUGAGGGACCGGGUGAGCCCAGGGUACAGAAAAGAGGUCUAACAGGGGAGAGGAGCACAGCCCAUGGCUCAGUAACCCCACAGGGAGACCUUCACCACCGCCCUCAUAUGACUUUGUGUUCUUGAGUGAGCAAGAAAAGCAUGCGUUCGUCUCCCUGGACGCUCAGUCACAGCUGAGAACUCCUAAAUUGACAGAUAGUGGCCUGUGAUUUGAAAGUCACUCUGUGCUGCUCCCUUUGCCCAGGAUAGCUUCACCAUCCCUCCACGGGACCACCAAGUCCUCAUGCCCAUUCUGAGGUGUGAAGGUUCCUACACACGCAUGUACUCUCCAGCAUCCUCACAGUUAAAGCUCUCUGUGCUCCCUGUAUGCUAAGUGCUCACUGACCUCCUGUCCCCUGGGAUAGUCCUCCCUGGAGUCCACCUGACCCCGGGUACCCUAGUAUCUAUCCAGAGUUUUUCAUCUUCCUAAAGUGCUAGUUUAAAUUACAUGUUUGCAAAAGUGAGCACACUGUCACACAUUCACAAUGUCUUAGAACUGGCAGGGCUGUCGUCCCACACUUGCACAGUGAGGUUGCUAUGUUCUCGUCAUGACCUUGUCCUCCACAGACUUAGAAGUCCUUAGAGCCUCCUGUAGUCAUUGGUACUGCUUUCUGUGGUGUACCUGUGUCCUGAGGCUCCCUCCAACCUUGUGGGCAGGACUGUGUAGCCUGUCCCAUUGUUCCCUCCUCUGGUGCAUUUGAGAGUGGAGGUCUUUUGCUUGGCCUUCUAGCUCUUUCUUGUCUCUUGAGUUUUCUCCUGGUAUGACUCUCUGAACUUUUACAAGAGUCCUCAGCAUUCAAUGCCAGAGUCAGUCUGAACCCAAGUUAGAGUCAGGGAUUGUUUUCUCAUUCAUUUGACAGAGGGUAGGACGAAGGUGAAUCCAGGUAGUGUUCUUGAAGUAUGUCUUUCCUGGGCUUAGGUGCCCUUGUGACUGUGUGUGGAAGGGGUUGUACUAAACAGUCCAACCUUGCCUGUCCCAGCUCUCUGUUGUAUAUUGAGAUGUUCUGGAACCUUGAUGCUUUCUCCCACUUAUAAAUUUCAGAUUCAUGUGUCCACAUAUCUGCAAUGUGUUUUCUAAUGUGUCGUACACAUAUGUCUUCCAGUUGGAAAAUGAAUGUGUAUUAAAAAUAUACAGUCCUAACUGGCUUUCGGGAAGUACACUUAUGUUCCUGGCAGGCAGCAGCCUGUGGAGCAGGAAGAUUGUUGAGUUUCCUACACCAUGGGCUGCUCCAUGAGUCUUUUUAAUGUUUGUUUUUAUUUUAACAAAGCUAAAAGGUACAUAUGUGUGUUCUAUGAGAAUGAUUAUUCUCAAAGGAAUUGUCACAGGCAUCUUUAUUAUUUAAAAUUACAUUUAUCAAGGAAAAUAACUUUUCAUCGUCCAAUAUCAUGAGUAAAGUAUGAGAUGAGGACAAUCAUGAUGUCAUCAGCAGGAAACACAGAAUGGUUUGUAAGUGUCCUCUAAGUUUCACUUUAUUUUCAGCACUGGCCAAGAAGAUAUUCUCAGGGAGUAAACAAUGUGAUAGAGCCUGGAGAGAUGGCCUGUACCAUAGCCUAAAAACAGGUUCUCUUGGGGAGGACCUACAUUCCAUUUCUAAUACCCACAUUGUACAUGACAACCAAUGAAUUCCAGUUUUAAGGGAACUGACCAUUUUGAGUAUCAAGUGCACAUCAUACGUGUAGGUAAAACAUACACACAAAAUACAUAUUUUCAAAACAUUUUAUGUACAUGAGUAUUCCAUGUGCCUACCAGAAGGAGGCAUCAGAUUUCAUUAUAGAUGGUUGUGAGCCACCAUGUGGUUUCAGGGAAUUGAACUCAGGACCUCUGGAAGAGCAGUUAGUGCUCUUAACCGCUGAGCCAUCUCUCCAGUCCCUAGAAUACAUUAAAAAAAUACGUUUAUGCAAGAGAGAGCCUUAGAGUUAUAUAUAUAAAAAACCUUUUUUGAGACAGAGUCUUAGAUUCACUUUUAAAUAAGGGAACUAAUAUUUUCUUUUUUAAAGACAAGUUAAUGUUGUGCAUGUGUGUGCAUUGAGUGUCAGUCACAGAAGUGGGUGUCAGAUCUUGUAGAUUUAAAGCUGGGUGUAAGUCACCUAAUGCAGGUGUUGGAAACCAAACUGAAGUUGUCUAUAGGUGUGGUUUCAUAUCUGCUGACCUUGUCUCCAGCUCACUCCACCAUGCCCAAACUCUCUCAGUCUGAUGGCAGCAGAGCAUUCCAGGCAGGCAAAACCAACAGUUCAGGACUGUGAUGGAGCAAUGUAUUUCAGGGAAAGCCAAAUGUGAAACAAAGUUGGAUUUAUUUAAAAUGUAAAAAGCACCUCAGUAAAUGGAGUAAACCAGACCACUCAGGACAAGUGUGGGCAGAGUCACAGGUGUCUUUUAACAAAGGAUAAGAGAUUCUGAUUGCUUUCGUUACAUUGUUCAAGUUGCAAACAAAAGAAAACAAAAAUCCCUUCCCUUUUGUCCAACACUGUUAAAGUAUAUACAAUAUGUACCAAAGCUUUUAUAGCUUUUCUCAGUUAACAGAGCAAUGAAGGUCAUUAUCAAGGUCUAGGUGGGGAAGUGAGGGAAUAUAAGGUUAUAUAUCAUUAUAGACUUACGUAAGCACAGGGUAAUUACUAUCUGCUAUUUAUUAGGUGAUUACUAUUUAUUUGUUUAUUUUGGUGUGAAGAGACACCAUGACCAAGACAAUUAUUAAAAAGGACAAGGGGUUGGGGAUUUAGCUCAGUGGUAGAGCGCUUGCCUAGCAAGUGCAAGGCCCUGGGUUCAGUCCCUAGCUCCGAAAAAAAAAAAAAAAGAAAAAGAAAAAAAAAAAAAGGACAAGAUUUAAUUGGAUCUGGCUUCCAGUUUCAAAGGUUCAGUUCAUUAGCUUCGUGGGAAGCAUUGCAGCAUCCAGGCAUACAUAGUUCUGGAGAAGGAGCUGAGAGUUCUACAUCUUGAUUGACAGGUAGCAAAGAGGAGACUGUCUCAAUACUAGGUGUAGCCUGAGCAUAAAUGAGAUCUGAAAGUCCACCUCCACAGUAAGGGGCUUACUCCAACAAGGCCACACCUACUCCCAAACUACGCUACACCUCCUAACAGUGCCACUCCCUAUGGGGCAAGUAUUUAAACACCUGAGUCUAUGGGGCUCAUUCCUAUUCAAACCACCAUACCAUCCUUGAUAUCAGUGAUUGAGGCACUGCUGGGAAUCUCAUCUGACACCAAGUGAGUAAUUUAUUCUAGUCUUCGUUGAGAUACCCUUCAGAGAAUACAUGUCUCUGUUAACUAUUUGGUCCUUACCAGUUAUAUCUGGUGUCUGAAGUCUCCUGCCUUCUGAGCAUUAAAAACAGAUGAGGUCCAAAGAGCAGAGUUACCCCCCUCUCUCAACCCUUUCCAAGCUGUACGUGUCACUUCCUAUCUUGGACUGUUAGAUUCAAACUUAAGGACAAAGGCUGCCUUAGGCAAACACCAGGUGGAAUUUAGGAAAACACCCAGUUCCAGGAAAUGAGCUAACCAUUCUUAGCAGGGGUCCUUCACCACCUGCUCUGCAUGCCAAAGGUAUUUCCCCAAGGGCUUCCAAUGAAUUCAAAGGACAAUAGGCGGCCACCAAUGAAUUAAAAAAGUAAUAGGCCCCACCAAAGAGAAAUAACCAACUCAUGCUGUAACCUAAAGCCUACACCUGAAACAGUAUAAAGGGCGUGGGCCUUUGUUCUUCAGGGUCGCCUCUGUCCCGAGUACAGGGUCACCCCAGUGUACUGGAUUAUUAAACCUCUUGCUUAUUGCAUCGA
This is a non-coding RNA of Rattus norvegicus (Norway rat), 8810 nucleotides long. NCBI's taxonomy places the organism in Eukaryota, Metazoa, Chordata, Mammalia, Rodentia, Muridae. The record is from RefSeq and is a predicted model, not a curated record.